UCGGCUGCCCCUUGAUCCAGCAAUCCGACCUCGGGUCGGAUAUCUUCGGCUCCGCAGCCCGACCCCGAGUNNNNNNNNNNNNNAUCCAGCAAUCCGACCUCGGGUCGGAUAUCUUCGGCUCCGCAGCCCGACCCCGAGUCGGCCGCCCCUUGAUCCAGCAAUCCGACCCCGAGUCGGCAAUCUCUCGACAACAACAGACUGUUCCUCUGAGGCACGCCGCGGCCCCCUGCUCCACUACUCCCUGCAACGGCCGUAUCCGGCGCUGCCCCACGAUCCCCUGUAACAGCCGUACAAAGCGGAGCUCCACUAUGCCCUGCCAUGGCUGUACCCAGCGCUGCCCCACGACGCCCUGUAACGGCCAUGUCAGUGGCAGCCCCAUCGUGCCACACGAUGACGAAUCCCCGGAAAAACCCCCCAG
This 418-nucleotide long non-coding RNA is filed under the name Phoenix dactylifera (date palm). RNAcentral's name for it is "long non-coding RNA (PDAC_LNC009261)". Lineage: Eukaryota; Viridiplantae; Streptophyta; Magnoliopsida; Arecales; Arecaceae. The record is from RNAcentral.